Molecule: transfer RNA, 77 nt
Filed under: Calditrichota bacterium
Lineage: Bacteria; Pseudomonadati; Calditrichota
Description: Calditrichaeota bacterium tRNA-Lys
Rfam family: tRNA
About the family: Transfer RNA (tRNA) molecules are approximately 80 nucleotides in length. Their secondary structure includes four short double-helical elements and three loops (D, anti-codon, and T loops). Further hydrogen bonds mediate the characteristic L-shaped molecular structure. tRNAs have two regions of fundamental functional importance: the anti-codon, which is responsible for specific mRNA codon recognition, and the 3' end, to which the tRNAs corresponding amino acid is attached (by aminoacyl-tRNA synthetases). tRNAs cope with the degeneracy of the genetic code in two manners: having more than one tRNA (with a specific anti-codon) for a particular amino acid; and 'wobble' base-pairing, i.e. permitting non-standard base-pairing at the 3rd anti-codon position.
Source: RNAcentral
GAGGGCGUAGCUCAGCUAGGUAGAGCAGCGGCCUUUUAAGCCGUCGGUCGUGGGUUCGAUUCCCGCCGCCCUCACUA